AUUGAACGCUGGCGGCAGGCCUAACACAUGCAAGUCGAGCGGGAACUUCGGUUCUAGCGGCGGACGGGUGAGUAAUGCGUAGGAAGCUACCCGACAGAGGGGGAUACCAGUUGGAAACGACUGUUAAUACCGCAUAAUGUCUACGGACCAAAGUGUGGGACCUUCGGGCCACAUGCUGUCGGAUGCGCCUACGUGGGAUUAGCUAGUUGGUGAGGUAAUGGCUCACCAAGGCGACGAUCCCUAGCUGGUUUGAGAGGAUGAUCAGCCACACUGGAACUGAGACACGGUCCAGACUCCUACGGGAGGCAGCAGUGGGGAAUAUUGGACAAUGGGCGCAAGCCUGAUCCAGCCAUGCCGCGUGUGUGAAGAAGGCCUUCGGGUUGUAAAGCACUUUCAGUAGGGAGGAAGAGUUGAGUGUUAAUAGUACUCAGCUUUGACGUUACCUACAGAAGAAGCACCGGCUAACUCUGUGCCAGCCGCCGCGGUAA
Molecule: ribosomal RNA, 488 nt
Filed under: uncultured bacterium
Lineage: Bacteria
Description: partial 16S ribosomal RNA
Rfam family: Bacterial small subunit ribosomal RNA
Source: RNAcentral